RNAcentral lists this long non-coding RNA (1337 nucleotides) under Setaria italica (foxtail millet). Its description in RNAcentral is "long non-coding RNA (SITA_LNC005519)". The record is from RNAcentral. Lineage: Eukaryota; Viridiplantae; Streptophyta; Magnoliopsida; Poales; Poaceae.
AAACACGAACGUUUUUAAGAUGAAAUUAAACAAACAGACCGACGAAAAUCGAUAAAUUAUUACUGGAAUGGGAAAUGCAUAAAUGAUCAUGGGCACCGAUCCAGCAGCUGGAAGAACCUAGUCGAUCAAGAUCCAGCAGGGUUCUUCCUCCUCGACGUCGAUCAUGGGCGCUGCCGGCCCGGCCCGUUGAACAGAAACGGGUCCAGCCAGCUCGCCUCGAUCGUCCACCGGGUCAGUCAUGCUGGGCGCACCUGCGUUGUUGGCAACGAGUCACAGCACCGUCAGGUGGAGCAUACCCAUGCAGCUCCUCAUCAGGUCGACGUCGUCCUGGCUGUCGUCCACGUGUGUUGCGGCUGCUGCUAUUUGUUCUUCUUCUUGUUCGCCGGCGAGCACUCCGAUCCGGGACCGGGCCGGCUUCCUGGAGGCCGUGCCAGCCAUCGUCGUCGGCACCUGAAAGGGAUUCAUCACCGGCGAUGGAGACUUCCGCUUGGCCACGAGUCAAGUGAUGCGUGGAGCUUCAUGUGUGCGUGCGUGCGUGCGCGCUCGCGUGUGUUUUCUCUGCCUAGCUUGUGUUUGCUUGCUUGCAUGUGUGUAAACGGCGUGCCUAGCUUGAAUGCAAUCAAAUUCAUUUUCAUCAUCAGAAAUCAAGUCAACAUGAAAGACCUUCUCAUAAUUUACACCAGCAUACUCAAUUUCAUCGUUUUUCCCCCAAGGAUCAUCAUCUGUAGGGUUUUCCUCAGUCCCAGAUUUAAUAACAGGAUCAAAGAGAUCUGCCAGGGUGGUACAUGCGCUCUGUUGUGUGGGUUGUGCAUGCGAAUCUGCUACUACACAAGAAACAUAAUGUAUGCUCUGUUCUAUGGGCGGCUGAUGAAUGACAAGCCCGAGCCUACAAGCACAGAUGUAAUCAACUCCUAUAAGGAUAUUGCUAAAGCCCAAAUAUAUAUCUAACGAACCCUAGGCCCCCAAAUCUCAUGAACCCAUGCCAUGUUCUGAACCCUAGAUCCUCAAAUCACUUGGGGGAAAUUUGAAUCUUACCCGUCAGGAACCCAGGAUAGGUUUGACACCUUCUAUGGGGAGUCAUCGCUGCAUAGUCGCUCCACUCCAAGACCGGGGAACGGGGACCAAGUCGCAACCAUCGGGCCUGGUCUCUUAGUGCAGCUCGCGGAUGGGGAGAACUUGCCAGAGCUAAGUUGCAUCAGUGGCAGGAGGCAUGGUGUGUGUGAUUGGUGGCGGUCGGUGAAGAGUCGUCGGAGAUUAUGGCAAGCCGAGAAAAAUUGCAGAGGCGGCAGCGAGAUUUUUUACGGAUGGUGCCGUGAAUAAUCUGGAUAGGAUGCAGC